CCUACGGGAGGCUGCAGUGGGGAAUUUUCCGCAAUGGGCGAAAGCCUGACGGAGCAACGCCGCGUGAGGGAUGAAGGCCUCUGGGCUGUAAACCUCUUUUUUCAAGGAAGAAGAUCUGACGGUACUUGAAGAAUAAGCCACGGCUAAUUCCGUGCCAGCAGCCGCGGUAAUACGGGAGUGGCAAGCGUUAUCCGGAAUUAUUGGGCGUAAAGCGUCCGCAGGCGGCCUCAAAAGUCUGUCGUUAAAGCGUGGAGCUUAACUCCAUUUAAGCGAUGGAAACUGUGAGGCUAGAGUGUGGUAGGGGCAGAGGGAAUUCCCGGUGUAGCGGUGAAAUGCGUAGAUAUCGGGAAGAACACCAGUGGCGAAGGCGCUCUGCUGGGCCAUAACUGACGCUCAUGGACGAAAGCCAGGGGAGCGAAAGGGAUUAGAUACCCGAGUAGUC
Molecule: ribosomal RNA, 442 nt
Filed under: uncultured bacterium
Lineage: Bacteria
Description: bacterial SSU rRNA
Rfam family: Bacterial small subunit ribosomal RNA
Source: RNAcentral